AGAGUUUGAUCCUGGCUCAGAAUCAACGCUGGCGGCGNNCCUAACACAUGCAAGUCGAACGAGAAAGUGGAGCAAUCCAUGAGUACAGUGGCGUACGGGUGAGUAACACGUGGGUAAUCUACCCUUUGGUGGGGAAUAACUCUGGGAAACCGGAGCUAAUACCGCAUAAUCCUGAGAAGGAAAAGCAGCAAUGCGCCGAAGGAGGAGCCCGCGGCCGAUUAGCUAGUUGGUGGGGUAACGGCCCACCAAGGCAAAGAUCGGUAGCCGGCCUGAGAGGGCACACGGCCACACUGGCACUGAAACACGGGCCAGACUCCUACGGGAGGCAGCAGUGGGGAAUCUUGCACAAUGGGGGAAACCCUGAUGCAGCGACGCCGCGUGAGCGAUGAAGCCCUUCGGGGUGUAAAGCUCUUUCGGCAGGGAAGAUUAUGACGGUACCUGCAGAAGCAGCUGCGGCUAACUACGUGCCAGCAGCCGCGGUAAUACGUAGGCAGCAAGCGUUGUUCGGAGUUACUGGGCGUAAAGGGUGUGUAGGCGGCUCCUUAAGUUUGGUGUGAAAUCUCCCGGCUCAACCGGGAGGGUGCGCCGAAUACUGAUGGGCUAGAGUGCGGGAGAGGGAAGUGGAAUUCCUGGUGUAGCGGUGAAAUGCGUAGAUAUCAGGAGGAACACCGGUGGUGUAGACGGCUUUCUGGACCGUAACUGACGCUGAAACACGAAAGCGUGGGUAGCAAACAGGAUUAGAUACCCUAGUAGUCC
RNAcentral lists this ribosomal RNA (756 nucleotides) under uncultured bacterium. Its description in RNAcentral is "bacterial SSU rRNA". It matches the Rfam family "Bacterial small subunit ribosomal RNA", at positions 8 to 796 of the family's 1533-position model. The record is from RNAcentral.